Molecule: ribosomal RNA, 464 nt
Filed under: uncultured bacterium
Lineage: Bacteria
Description: partial 16S ribosomal RNA
Rfam family: Bacterial small subunit ribosomal RNA
Source: RNAcentral
GACGAACGCUGGCGGCGUGCUUAACACAUGCAAGUCGAACGGAAACGCCCUGCUUGCAGGGUACUCGAGUGGCGAACGGGUGAGUAACACGUGGGUGAUCUGCCCUGCACUUCGGGAUAAGCCUGGGAAACUGGGUCUAAUACCGGAUAGGAGCCAUUUUUAGUGUGAUGGUUGGAAAGUUUUUUCGGUGUAGGAUGAGCUCGCGGCCUAUCAGCUUGUUGGUGGGGUAAUGGCCUACCAAGGCGGCGACGGGUAGCCGGCCUGAGAGGGUGGACGGCCACAUUGGGACUGAGAUACGGCCCAGACUCCUACGGGAGGCAGCAGUGGGGAAUAUUGCACAAUGGGCGCAAGCCUGAUGCAGCGACGCCGCGUGGGGGAUGACGGCCUUCGGGUUGUAAACUCCUUUCGCUAGGGACGAAGCUUUUGUGACGGUACCUAGAUAAGAAGCACCGGCUAACUACGUG